RNAcentral lists this ribosomal RNA (854 nucleotides) under uncultured bacterium. RNAcentral describes it as "bacterial SSU rRNA". It matches the Rfam family "Bacterial small subunit ribosomal RNA", at positions 43 to 914 of the family's 1533-position model. The record is from RNAcentral.
CGUGCUUACACAUGCAAGUCGAGCGAUGAACACCUUCGGGUGUGAAUUAGCGGCGAACGGGUGAGGAACACGUGAGAAAUCUGCCUUCAACACUGGGAUAACUCCGGGAAACCGGGGCUAAUACCGGAUAUGAGAUCUACAGGCAUCUGUGGAUCUGGAAAGUUUUUCGGUUGAAGAUGAUCUCGCGGCCUAUCAGCUAGUUGGUGAGGUAAUGGCUCACCAAGGCGACGACGGGUAGCCGGCCUGAGAGGGCGACCGGCCACACUGGGACUGAGACACGGCCCAGACUCCUACGGGAGGCAGCAGUGGGGAAUAUUGGGCAAUGGAGGAAACUCUGACCCAGCGACGCCGCGUGCGGGAUGAAGGCCUUCGGGUUGUAAACCGCUUUCAGCAGGGAAGAAGCGAAAGUGACGGUACCUGCAGAAGAAGCACCGGCUAACUAUGUGCCAGCAGCCGCGGUAAUACAUAGGGUGCAAGCGUUGUCCGGAAUUAUUGGGCGUAAAGAGCUCGUAGGUGGUUCGUCACGUCGGAUGUGAAAAUCUGGGGCUUAACCCCAGACCUGCAUUCGAUACGGGCGAGCUUGAGUAUGGUAGGGGAGUCUGGAAUUCCUGGUGUAGCGGUGGAAUGCGCAGAUAUCAGGAGGAACACCAAUGGCGAAGGCAGGACUCUGGGCCAUUACUGACACUGAGGAGCGAAAGCGUGGGGAGCGAACAGGAUUAGAUACCCUGGUAGUCCACGCCGUAAACGGUGGGCACUAGUUGUGGGGACCUUCCACGGUCUCUGCGACGCGGCUAACGCAUUAAGUGCCCCGCCUGGGGAGUACGAUCGCAAGAUUAAAACUCAAAUGAAUUGAC